CACGUAGGGGGCGAGCGUUGUCCGGAUUUAUUGGGCGUAAAGGGCUCGUAGGCGGUUUGUCGCGUCGGGAGUGAAAACACCGGGCUUGACUCGGUGCUUGCUUUCGAUACGGGCAGACUAGAGGUAUGCAGGGGAGAACGGAAUUCCUGGUGUAGCGGUGAAAUGCGCAGAUAUCAGGAGGAACACCGGUGGCGAAGGCGGUUCUCUGGGCAUUACCUGACGCUGAGGAGCGAAAGUGUGGGGAGCGAACGGG
RNAcentral lists this ribosomal RNA (253 nucleotides) under uncultured bacterium. RNAcentral's name for it is "partial 16S ribosomal RNA". It matches the Rfam family "Bacterial small subunit ribosomal RNA", at positions 524 to 776 of the family's 1533-position model. The record is from RNAcentral.